UGCAAAGUGGCAACAGAUUUGAACAGCCUGCUGCACGCAUUGCUAGCUGUGGUUCAACAAGAAAUAUGAUAAAAAUCAGUUCUCUGGAAAGAAUCAUAUUGCAAGAUGCCCUAAAACUUUCAGGUUUUGUGGGUCCUGAGCAUUGUGAUUCCCCUGCCUAAUGGAUGAGUCAGCCCUGCACACCUUUACCUCUGCUGCAUCCUUUUGACCAAAGCCAAUCAAAACACCAGUCUCAGAUUGGAAGACUG
Molecule: long non-coding RNA, 248 nt
Organism: Zalophus californianus (California sea lion)
Lineage: Eukaryota; Metazoa; Chordata; Mammalia; Carnivora; Otariidae
Exons: 3
Source: RefSeq, a predicted model, not a curated record